This 433-nucleotide ribosomal RNA is filed under the name uncultured bacterium. RNAcentral describes it as "partial 16S ribosomal RNA". It matches the Rfam family "Bacterial small subunit ribosomal RNA", at positions 29 to 507 of the family's 1533-position model. The record is from RNAcentral.
AACGAACGCUGGCGGCAGGCCUAACACAUGCAAGUCGAGCGCCCGCUUCGUGGUGGGCUGCGGUCGGGUGAGUAACGCGUGGGAACGUUCCCUUCUCUGCGGAAUAGCCUCUUUUAGCUGAGAGUAAUACCGCAUACGCCCUGUUGGUGCAAGAUUUAUCGGAGGAGGGACGGCCCGAGUUGUUUUAGGUAGGUGGGGGUGGAAGAGCCUACCACGCCUACGAUCCAUAGCGGGGUUGAGAGGCUGGUCCGCGACACUGGGACUGAGACACGGCCCAGAAUAUUACGGGAAGCAGCAGUGGGGAAUCUUAGAAAAUGGGGGCAACGAUGAAGUAGCCAUGCCGCGUGAGUGAUGAAGGCCUUAGGGAAGUAAAGCUCUUUCAGAUGGGAAGAUAAUGACGGUACCAGAAGAAGAAGCACCGGCUAACUCCGUG